This is a long non-coding RNA of Onychostoma macrolepis, 927 nucleotides long. RefSeq lists it as uncharacterized. The transcript has 3 exons. The record is from RefSeq and is a predicted model, not a curated record. Lineage: Eukaryota; Metazoa; Chordata; Actinopteri; Cypriniformes; Cyprinidae.
GGAGAGGCAGGUUUUUAUAUAGCGGCGAGUGGUUACCCUUGACUGCUGGCAGGAGCUAAUGAGUAACAUAAAGCUGUGAAUAUGAAUAUUUUUAUGGGGAGCUUCACUGCGGACUGCCAACCCUGAUUAUGACCUCUGUGUUACUUCAACCUCUUAGGAACAAAAGUGACGUGAUCCUUUUAUUAAACAAAGGAGCAAUGGAAAUCAAGCAACCAAUCAAUGUCUUUAAACUCUCCCGUGACUGAGCUGAAGACAACAGCCUGUGCAACGAGUAUCUUUGCGAAGUUUUUUUGUAAGAAGAAAAUCAAACAUUUCUGGAACAACUCAAGUUUGCAGGUUGUCAUUAAUACAUCAGACAGCAUGAAUAAACCAGCAAACCCAGCAGUGGCUGGCCUGUGCUGCUCCUGGAACAGCUGGGACUAGAGCCAUGAAUCAUGUCAUCUGGUCGGGCUUAUGAAAAGAGCUCUGCGUCUGUGUGCGCUGCUCAGACAGACAGAGAGCAGAGCGGGCGGUACUAAAUCAUACAGCUCAUCACUCCCAAUACAUUUGCCCAGCAAGACACGUUCUGGAUUUAUGGGGUACCAAUGCUACUGGUCACUGAUCUGAAUACACUGUUUAUCUAUUUUCACACUGACCGGGGCUGCCUUGUGCUAACCCAUUUCAUGAUGUUUAACCUCAAUUGCAGGCUUUUGAGAAUGAGGAGCUUUGGGAGAGAGGCUAUGGGCAAAGGUCAGUGGAAGAGGAUUUUUCUUCUUUUUUUUUGUCAUUGUCCACACAAAAAAAAAAAAAAAGAAAAAAAAAAAGGGAAGCAUUAACUGAACGUGAAUUGGCUUUCACAUUUACUUUUACUCCCAUAAUCUGAUGUACUUCCAAAAAAUAUUUUUUUUAAUCGGUAUUUUUUCCACAAUAUUUAUGUGGAAAGCUAAA